GUAAGUGUGAAGAGGUGUGCGUCUGCAGGAUUUCACUAAAUUCCCAUUGACUCAAGCCUCCCUCUGUUUCUCACAAUACGGUCAAGGGAGCAGCUCAUUUAUAAAAGGACAGGCCAGUUUCAACCUGAUGGGUUGAAAGAAUUAGCCAGUGCCAAAUGAUACUUUAUUGAUCUUUUCUUGGGAAGGUGAGGGGAAGUGGGGCAACGUAGAGUCCUCAAAUUGCUUGUCUGGGUUCAUCUUCCCCGAAGGGGCAGCUUGCAUACAAUCCCCGUUAUAUUGGCUUUGGCAUAGUGGCGGGCUUUUAGGAUGCUGUCGGCUCUCCAUCUGUGUGUCGAUAGAUUAUUUUAAGGGGGCAUGCUUGGACCUUCAUUGACCAUGAGAAUCUGUCCAACUUCCACACUGUGUGAAUAUCCAAGACAAACACACGUAUCUACCAUUAAAACGGAGGAAGCAGACGCAACUAUUUACGGAACAGGAUUCCAGGUCUUAAGUGUGACAAUCUCUAGGUUCAUCCACGUUGCUUCAACUUUCUACUCUCAUAUUUCUCUGAAAAUUAUUUGGCCAAUGGUCAUGAACUAUCAAGGGGAUGCUAUUCAUAGCCAAGAUACUGUCUGGGUGAGCCUAAGUCUCCAUAAUGAAGAGCUUACUAAUAACUGCUCCAUGACUGAACCACACUGACUCUGCAUUGUCAACUCCAUCUUAUCCCCAGCCAAGAUGCCCUACCCACUCCUCUCUCUGAAUGACUGAGCUUUAGUCUACUCACAAGGAAUGUGGCCAGGCUAGGAAAUUUCCCUACCACCUUUUAUCCUUGCCUUCUUCUGACACAGGAACUGAAAGAGUGCCUUUUGCUGACACAUAUGGUUAAUGGUCAGGAGACUCUCAGGGCAAGGAAAACCGUGUUCCCUUCAGUGCUAAUCUUUCUCUUAGCUGGUAGUCAUGAUCUGUUUUUAGCUUUGGCCCCUUUAAGUCCCCUGUACCCACUUUAAGCAGUGCAGAGCACAGCCUUGAAUGCCUCUGGAC
This is a long non-coding RNA of Bos taurus (domestic cattle), 1020 nucleotides long. The record is from Ensembl. Lineage: Eukaryota; Metazoa; Chordata; Mammalia; Artiodactyla; Bovidae.